This 253-nucleotide ribosomal RNA is filed under the name uncultured bacterium. Its description in RNAcentral is "partial 16S ribosomal RNA". It matches the Rfam family "Bacterial small subunit ribosomal RNA", at positions 524 to 776 of the family's 1533-position model. The record is from RNAcentral.
UACGGGGGGAGCAAGCGUUGUUCGGAUUUACUGGGCGUAAAGGGCGCGUAGGCGGCGUGACUAGUCACUUGUGAAAUCUCCGGGCUUAACUCGGAACGGUCAAGUGAUACUGUCGUGCUAGAGUACAGAAGGGGCAACUGGAAUUCUCGGUGUAGCGGUGAAAUGCGUAGAUAUCAGGAAGAACACCCGUGGCGAAAGCGGCUCUCUAGGACGGUACUGACGCUGAGACGCGAAAGCGUGGGGAGCGAACAGG